CCUCCACCAUUGUUAAAGUGCCCUUUCAGCCCAGCCAAUUAACACCUGUCCAUGGCUACAAACAUGCUAAGCAACAAGGAAACCAAACAAACAGACAACUCUAUUCCCAGGGAACCGUGCACCUUAUCAUAAAAAACAAAUAAACACAUGCCCCAAUUGUAACUUUUUAUGAAACCAAGAAAUCUAUAAACCUACUAAACAACACAUUUAGUAAGUAAUAAAAAUGGAGUCUUUUUUAGAAGGUAAAAAUUGGGUUAUAUGUAGAAUGUGAGUUAAAAGAAUUGAAAAUUUACCAUGGAAGUUGAUGUUAGUUUAGUUCUUUCCUUUUCCUUUCUGAUCUGAAUGUCCGUGGCCGUGGUCAUACCCAUUUCCAUAGAAGAGAUGUAAACGAGCAUCAUAUUCAGUUGUGGGACCAAGAUAUGAUCCGUCUGUGGGAGAAAACCUCUGGUAAUGAGGCAAAGUAGAGGAAGAAUUGGACUGAAGGGUCCCCCUAUUGAAACCAGAUGUUGAAGAAAUGCUGAAGUUCAAAUUGUACUCGUUAUUAGUAUUAGUAUUACUGGAGGUAACGCCCGGGACUAGGUUGUCACCGCCAAAUGGGAAAUGCUGCAGCUCCGGUCGAUGCUCACCCGUAAUACUAAACAUUGGUGAAGACACUGGUCUUAAUGGCUGUAGAGGAUUUCCCAAGUAAAUUUGGCCACUAGAGUUGUCUAUUCCACGAGUAGCUGAUGGGCCUAAUAAUCCUGAGGUAAAAUACUCCAACGGAUUUGUAGACCAUUGCCUUGGUGUAUUUUGGUGAAUGUUGCCAUUAGGACUUGUGUUGCUGUUGUUGUUAUCGCUCAUACCACCGGUCAAUAGCUCAGUGAAAGACGAGCUAGGGUGCAUGUUUUGGUGGUGUUGAGCAACAAUACAAGACUUGUUUUCUUUUUCCUUUUCUUUCUCUGUGGCCCUUUCCUUUGCUCGCUCCCGUGCCUUGAGCCGACUAUCAGAUCUGGAAAGUGACAAGCCCGAACCUUUACUUGUCUCAGAAUUGCUACAACAAGGUUGUUGCUGCUGAUUGUAAUUAAGAUCAUCAUCCAUUUCCACAUCAGCUGAAUCAAAACCCGGCUCACUUGACCUUUUCUCAUCACUGAGCUGCAGUGUAUCUGGAAAUGCCUCAAGAGGUGGAAGCUCAGCAAUAGAAGGAGCGGCCGCUUUUAGCAGCCAUUCGACAGCCUUGCUGGGCUGAUCACAGCCUAGACGGUCUUGCAAAUCAUAGAACUGUAUAGCAGUAUUGACAGAAAGACGAACACGUCUAUCUCUUAACCCCUUUGAAGUCAAUACUUUGCUAUGCCUAUCUUUCCCUCCAGAUGCACGAGAAACUCUAACAAUUCUUGAUGAAGGCCGACCAUAAAAUUUUACAAUCCCACCAAGUCCACUACUCCUUUUGACUUCUCCUACAUCAUCUACAUCAUAUUUUUGGUACUGCUCAUCCUCCUUGUUGCUCAUUCUUGGAAACUUGCACUCAUCAGUUUGAAUCUCCUCCAUCUCCAUACUACAACUUUCAUACCUUUCUCAAACAAACAAAAAAAAAAAAUCAAAAUCAAGAAAACACCCACCUUUCAAAAUUUAUUGGUUUACCCAAAUUUUCUUGAGUUCAAAAGGGUAUUAUUAUUUUUUUCCUGUGUGGAUUUGGGACUUGAAUUAGGGUUCCAAGAUGGAGAAAAAAAAUACAAGUAGAUAAAACUAUGAGCUGGUGUAGGGGGUACCUUCUUGGGCUUGGAGGACUGUAGAUGUCCUUUGCAUUAAUCAUGAUUACACACUACUUAAAAGACUUUUAUAAUGAUAAAUCCAUAUGAGUACACACAUGUAAAGAGUAGUCAAAAAAAAAGUGUUUUUUGAGGUCUGAUAUAUCACAUUCAACUACAGAUAGGGCUUGUUUAAAUGUCAGAAGUAGAGAGAAAAGAAGGCUUCUUUUUGCAGUGCUUUCAAAAACAAAGGCCUGUGUCAUCUCAGCAUCACAGCCCUGUUACACUGUAGGAAAACAGUCAAAACCAUAGCCACAAAAAAUCAACAAGCCCACAAAAUUAAUUUAUUUUUUAAAAAAGAAAAGAAAAGGAAGAAGCAUCAAAUGCUCUAGCUUUUCAUAGGGCUUUAGAUAUAAACUUUUGGACAGAUGUGGUUUAUGAGUAAAAGCUAAAUAAAUAGGUAGCUAAUCUAAGAAGAAAAAGAAAAGUCUUUGAAGGAUAGAGUGGAGAGCCUUUUUUGUGUGUGUAAUUAAAGAAUGACAAUUUUGUUAUUGCUAUUCUCAAAAAGAGAGAAGAUAACUACACAACCCAAAAGAAAUAAAAUACAGAAUGACAAUUUUAUUUAAUUAAAAAAAUAAACUAUUUCCAGUGGGAGUUAAAUUCCAUUAAUAAAAUAGAUGAUUAAAUGUUGUUGUUUUGGUGUUUGUGUCUGUAUACAACACCAACAAUACAAUAUAUUCAUUUACCAUUUGUUGUUUCUUGAAUAGAAAACAUGAAAUCUAGACAACUGUUGGAUCUGAGAGUUUUGUACUCCUUCAAGGGUAGAUCAGCUCCUUGUUUCACAUAAAAUCAAAUUAUGGAUAAAAACCCUUUCUUUCAUCUUCAAAUCAGCAAAAUAUCUUCAAUAAUUAGCUAAAAUGGCAUUGGAGAAAAAACAAAUUUUCCAAGAUAAAGAAUUGUUGUAGCAUCUUGAAUACAUUCAACAAUUGCUUCUUUCUUAGCUAUAAUUUACAAAAAACCAAAAAUGUGAAAAAGGGCAACUCCAAGGAGCAGCUAAGUUCAAAGUUGAAGAAUAUUACCCAAAUCUCUGCUUCCUUAUAUCACAACUUUGAAAACUCCAAAGCCAUAAUCAGCAAAUCCAAACCAGAAAAUUUUAAAUAUAUGAUAAAUGCUCUUCAACCCUCAUUUUUAGACCAAAAAAAGCAACUGUAAGUCCCCAUGAUGAAAACCUCCAACUUAUCCUUUAAAUUUUGUGAAAAUGGAAAAUCUUACUUUCUUUUUUUUCAGAUAUUUUGGUACCUAAAAAUUAAAAAGUAAAGAGAGAGAGUAGAGUAAAAUCCCUAAGGUCAUGAACAUUCGAGCAUAUCACCAGGCUUAUCGUGUAAGUACAGACACAGUGCCGUUUUACUCUUUUCCACUUUUUUUUUUUUUUUAAAUAAUGCCACGCCAAGAUAUUUUUCCUAUUUAAUUGCCCUCUUUAAUUUUUGGGAAAAGGUUCAAAAAUAUUCAUAAACCUAUUGAAAAUGUUCAAAAAUGUCCUCUUUUCAUUUAUUAGUUUAAAAAUAUCCUUAACAUUUUCUUUAGGUUAAAAAAUGCCCACUAAUUAGCAGACAUAUGACAUGAAAUUUAACUAAACAAAUGACAAUUUUAUAUUGGUCCACAUCAUUAUAUGACUCAUCUUUAGUUUGCAAAACAAAGUUAAUAAUGAUCCCUUCGAUUGUAUUUUACCCGCUCAACAAACAACAAAACACAAAAAAAAUAAAAAUUAAAAAAGAUAAAAAAAAAAUUGAGAUAAAUAUCAAAAACACAUCUAAACUAUCUUUUUUUUUUUUUAGUUUCAUACAUAAACUAUUGAAAGUAUGAGUUUCAUACAUAAACUAUCAUUUUUUUAGUUAGAGAAACACACAUAAGUGGUGUGUAAUGCACUCUCUCUUUUAUUUGAAAAAAACUUGACACAUGGCAUUCCACAUGGAUAAAAUAUUUCAACUUGACAAAAAAUUAAAUAAUAAAUUAUUAAUAUUAAUUAAAAAAUUAAAGAUUAAAGUAUUACUAUACAUAAAAAAAAAUUAAAUGAUUUUUUUUACCCCACUCCACCACCUCCUCAACGUACCACCCCCCCCCCCCGACAAUUCCCCAUCUUUUUUUAAAAAAAUAAUCCAUUAUAAAAUAUUUUAAAAAAAUUCAUACUUCACCCUCCCCCCUCCCAAAAAACAAAAACCACCCACUCAUCCCCCUCCACCCAAAAAAAAAAGAUAUUAUUUUAUUUUAAAAAAAAUAAAAUUCUACCCCAUCCUAUUUAACCCUCCGCUCCUAAUUUUUAUUUUAUAUUUUUCUCAUUUUGUAUUAGAUAUGUACGUACAUAUAUUUUUAGAAUUUUUUUUCUAUUAGUGUACGAAUAUAACAUAAAUAAAUAAAAAAUUAAAAAAAGUCUUGCGGCGGCAAGUAAACAAUAUUUCCGAUAUGUAUACAUCUAAUACUAAAUGAGAAAAAAAAAAAUUAGAAAGCGGAGGGUUAGGUGGGGUGGGUAGAAUUAUUUUUUAAAAAAUAAAAUAAUAUCUAAAUUAGUAUUUGAGGUGGGGGGAGGAGAUGAAGCAAAAAAAUUAAAUACUUUUAUAUAAGAAAUUUAAACAAAAAAAGAAACUUAAAAAAAAAUGGCCGGGGGUGGGUGGGGGGGGGGGUGAGAGGAAGUGAUAGAGUGGGGUAAGAAAAAUACUUUACAUUUUAUUUUAUAAAAGAAAUAUUAUCUUUUUUGUAUAAUAUUUUUUUAUUUUUCAUUUUUAACUAAUACUAAUAAUUUAUUUAAUUUUUUCAAGGUUGAAUGUUUUGUCCAUGUAGAGUGUGAUGUGACAAUUUUUUAAAUAAAAGAGAGAGUGUAUUACACACACCAUGAUGAGAGUGGUAUAAAAGAGAGAUGUGUGUUUCUCAAACUAAAAAGUGAUAGUUUAGGUAUGAAACUCACACUCUCAAUAGUUUAGAUAUGAAACUCAAAAAAGGGUACAGUUUAUGUGUGAUUUUGACACUUAUCUUUUUUUUUUAGGUACAAAAGGAUAGUAAUAUAUUAUAGCUUAAUAUGCGUUAGUUCAAGAUAGUGGCUGACAUGACUACUGUUAACAUACAUGGAGGAGGUAGAUGUUGAUUACAUAGCUUAUUGGUAUUAUUGGGCGAUAUACGUUUAACAAAAAGAGUUGCAGCCUUGUCUGCUUCCAAAUACUUUACUGCAAACAAAGGGGGAACUGCCCCAAAAAAAAUUCAUUUAUAUAGAAGGAGGAAAUUUUGAAGUUCAAAAAAUUCAUAAGGAAAAAAUUGAGGAAUCAAAUGUAUUUAUAGCCAUGUAAGUACUGUUUUUGAAAGUUUGCAACCUUUUUAGAACAGUCACCUAAGGAAAAUGGGCGGGAUAUUUAAAUGAAACUCGGUAAAAGAAUCUUCAUUGGGUUGCGCACGGAUCUGGUUCGGAUUGGAUAUUUGGCAAAUUUAAUUUAAAUAAUCAAAGAAAAAAUUGUCCAAAAAUAAAUCUCUUGAUCGGUAAUUUUUCAAAGCCAAAGUCGAGCUAGCAAGCGACGACGUGAGGGAACCUCUUUUCAAUCCUUUUUAACAACAAGUAAAAGUGUUAUCUUAUUUAAACACUUGAACUUCUCUUUCUACUAUCGAUGAGGGAGAAAUGCUUUCACCAAAACAUGUGUUUCCUCAAUUUCUCAUUUAAUUUACACUAGAUCAACAAUCCCCCACAUGAAUGGAGAAUAGCUAUAACAUAGAUAAAUGCAUAUACAAGUGUAUACUCUGCAAGCAAGGAUUAUACAUCUGGAUAAGUAGGUUUUUCUUUGAUUUUUCAUUGUGAACAUAUGUUGGAUAUGUUUGUAAAUUUUACGGAAAAUACCUUCAUCACGAACACUUGUACCGAAUUCACCAAAGCUUGUACUUCACCAAUAACUCUCAUUAGAAAUUCUCAUAGCUUGAGGCGUGUCGAAAGACAUUGUCCUUAAGAAUAUUUCACCCGAUAUGAGUGUAUCUCCUAGGAUUCAACAAGCUCUUCUAGUAUAAAACUAGGAGCCAGAAACUAACAAAGAUUUAAAGAAAAAAGCCUAGCACACCAAUAGAAUAUAGGUGGAAAGAUUUACUCUCAAAAUGUAUAUUUUCCUACCACCUUGUGAUAGAGGAAGACCACAUUUAUAUGGAAACAUACAUAAGGCUAAAGCCUCCAACGGUUACAAAAAGGAAUUAAUGUCAAUAAUUAGGAAUAAGGGCAAAAAAUUUGAAGGCCAAUUAAGAGGAAAAAGACGUUGGCAACUGCCACAUUUUGACCAACCUUAAAAUUGAUUUGUAAGAUAAUUAAUAGAAUAUUAACACCCAUUUAAGAUGAUGAAUGUAGAAAAUAAUAUGAACACUUCUUUUUGAGAUACUAGAAUCAUUUUUUCAACAAUCCCCUACAUAUCUCAAAAAGAAUAUUAAUAAAUAGAAUGAAAUAAGACGUUUUGUUGGAUUUUCAUAUAUUAGUCUAAUGCAUCAAAUUUGGUGUUUGUAGACUAUGAACCAGACCUAGAUAAAACAAGAUUAAACUUACAGAAUAAUUGGUGAAGUUUAGAACUUCUAUGAACCAAUAAUUCUUUUGUAAGUCCCGCGUCUUAUUCUAUCACAUUAUACUCGCACAAUCUUUAUCGUUAUCACGGUUUUGCACUAGAGGCCAUGUGCAUGUCCUGAUAUUCAUGAGAGCUCUAGAAAUUUGUCACAAUUUCAUAGAAGCGGCACCACUGCACACUCAUAUAGGUCCAAUCAUCAAGUGUAUUCUGCAGAGCAAUACACCACCUAUAAAGGAUAUGACUUGGAUUAAGAGCUUAACUUAGCCUCACUUUGCCUUGCAGACUGUUGCACUACAUUCACAUAUCAUAGGAGGGACAUAAUUUUAUAGUGCUUACUUGAUCAACUAAUGACUUGUUGUUACCCAUAUGAACCUAAUUCAUGUGAUCUCCAAUCACAUAGGUUGCGUUACCAUCAUCAUUGAUCUUCUCAAAUUGACUAAAGUCUUACUCCCCUCGAUGUUUCAUUUAGUCAGUAAAUUGAUCAGAUUCACCUUCGACUACACAUUAUCUAUUUACGUAAAUAAUUCAUCUCGCUGUAGUAUUUUUAUCACAUUGUGUCUCAAACACAUGUAUCUAAUUUAGUCACAUAAAAGUUGGUUUUAUUCCAAUUGGAAUACACACUAAGAAUUGUCUUAACCACUUAGUCUCAUCACCAAUCAACUCCACAACAACUAAUUCUAAUUAAUUAUUUUUAUAUUAUGGCAUUCACAAAAAUGUAUCAACCUCUUUUACCUUUGUCAUCAUAUAUUGUACCCUUUUUGUACAACAAAAUAUUCAAUUUAUUUAGUAUUGUACUUAUUGUACCUCUCAUGUAUUACCAAAGACUCUUUUCAAGAUAAUGUAUCAAGAAUCAAUAUAAUUUUCAACAACAAGAACAUUGAAAGUAUUUUCACUUUUAAAAACUCAACAAUACUUUAUUUUAUUUUUUCCAACUCUAACAUUGUAUUCAAUCAAAUCACAAUUGAUUAUCACAAAUAUGUAUUUACAACAUUUAUUAGCAUACAAUUAAAAAUUUAGAUCUUAUUUUUCUUUUCUUAGGAUCAUGUAACACAACCUUAACAAGAUACCCCUACACUUUAAAAUAUUUCAAUAGAGGAUUAACUUUUUCAACAUCCAUAAAGUUUUCAAAGUAGUAUGUAACAUACAAAUCUAUACACCAAAACAUAACAAAAUUAAAAUAAACAAAAAGAAUUUACGUCUCAUUUACUCAAGAAGUAAAACAAUUUGAGAAUAUACCCAAGCGAAGAUUCAACAAAAUGGAUGAGCUUCUUAAUCAAUAUUUAUCAAAAUAUUUUAUUUUUAACGUUCUGAUAAUUAAUGUGACAAAUGUCAAUUAUUAAAACUAUGUAGGAGUCACUCAAUACCACUUAAAACAAUAGUAACUAUCAAAUUUGAAUCACUAUUCAACAGUCUGUUAUAGAAUUUCACAAUGUAAUGUAAGAAUUCUAUUGAAUAAUUAUCAUACAGAAACUCAUAUAUAAUAUAAAACUAAAUAGAUUAGAAGUCUAACACAUCAAGAAUUAUCUCAAUCAGUCAAGCAUAAAUAACUCAUUGUCCUAACAACAUUCAUAAACACAUUGUCAAAUUAAAAUAAGUCAUUCAUUAAAUCUUUUCACAAAUUUACAAUAAUCAACUUUUCCUCAUAAAAUCCCUAGUUCCAAUCUAGCAUAAAUAUUAAAAUCAUGUACCAUCUCAAAUAAUGUCAAUAUUUUCACAUGUGAGUUUAAGAAGAAGAGCUUUUCCAUUCCAAGAACUUGAGUAGUUCUAGAAUCACCAACAUAUAUAAUUUUUUUCUUCUUUUCUAAUAUGGGAGCACAAAAUAAUUUUAUUUAGCAUAAAUGUACUCAACAAUACAAAAAUCUAACACCCAAUUUCUCACUUCCACAUAUUAGCCACAAGAUUCGCUUAAGAAAUGACCACACUAAUUUACAUCAUUCGCUUAGUCACAUUUAUUUUUACUUAGCGGGAUUAUUAUUUCUCCGAAUCUUCUUCACAUAGGGAGCAUGCAGAUUUAUUUCACCACACACAAAUAAUAAUCAUUAAAAAUAUAUACACAUAGUAUCAUUACAUACCUUAUUAGCAUGAACACGUUGGAAUGGAACACCAAUGAUACAAAAUUACCUCCAAUAGAAUGUUGAUUUUUCUGCUAAUAUCAACUACCGUAACAACGAUAAUUAUUCCAACCACGCUUCCACAGUAGUUGUCCCGAUAUACAAUUAGACUUUCAACCAUAAAUUACCAAACUUCAGUUUAUUCCUUAGCCAGCAAAGCUUGGACUAAUAGCUUGACCCCAUCAAACCUUUUCAUAUCUAUUCUUUCCUUUUAACCGUAAAAAUACUCUAUUAUUGUAGUAAUUAAUAUUCCGCAAGAAAAAAGUUUGAAAAUAUCCUUAAGAUUGUUGUAAAUUUUACGGAAAAUACCUUCAUCACAAACACUUGUACCGGAUUCACCAAAGCUUGUACUUCACCAAUAACUCUCAUAGGAAGUUCUCAUAGCUUGAGGCGUGUUGAAAGACACUGUCCUUAAGGAUAUUUCACCCGGUAUGGGUGUAUCCCCAGGAUUCAACAAGCUCUUCUACUAUAAAACUAGGAGUCAGAAACUAACAAAGAUUUAAAGAACAAAACCCAGCACACCAAUAAAAUAUAGGAGGAAAGAUUUACUCUCAAAAUGUAUAUUUUCCUACCACCUUGUGAUAGAGGAAGACCACAUUUAUAUGGAAACAUACAUAAGGCUAAAUCCUCCAACGGUUACAAAAAGGAAUUAAUGUCAAUAAUUAGGAAUAAGGGCAAAAGAUUUGAAGACCAAUUAAGAGGAAAAAGACGUUGGCAACUGCCACAUUUUGACCAACCUUAAAAUUGAUCUGUAAGAUAAUUAAUAGAAUAUUAACACCCAUUUAAGAUGAUGAAUGUAGAAAAUAAUAUGAACACUUCUUUUUGAGAUACUAGAAUCAUUUUUUCAACAGGAUAUACUCGGUCUAUCUAUAGAUUUGAUAUUUUUGAACCAUCAAAUUUUGAUAUAUACCUAGAAAAACACAUGCCACAUGUUCAAUCAUUUAACAUCUAUGGUGUUUACAGUUGUGUUCGUUUCAACCAUGAACACCUACUGAUUUGACAUUGUCAAAUAACUUGGGAUCCAGUUUGCUAGGUAGAAUUACCGUCAUGAUGACUUGUCCUAAGUCUUAAACUCUUUUCUUUAUAUCAUAUUUCAACUGUUCCUCUAGCUAGGCCUUUUAUAAGUGGAUCCGACAUAUUAUCUCUAGAAUUUACAUAGUCAAUAGUGAUAAUUCUACUAGAGAAUAGUUGUCUCAAGGUAUUAUAUCUUCUUCGUUGUACAUAACGUUCCUUGCCCUAUCUAUUACUCAUUGACUAUCAUAAUAAAUGCAUAUAGAUCCUAAAGUUUGGGUCAGAAUAGGAUAUCUUCUAAGAAAUUUCGGAUCCCUUCAUCUUCUUCAUCGGUCUUAUCUAAAGCAAUAAAUUCAGAUUCUAUUGUAGUGAAAGCGAUACAUGUCUGUUUGGAUGAUAUCCAGGAGAUUGCUCCUCCACUAAGGAUAAAUAUAUACUCACUCAUGAAUUUACUUCAUUUGAUUCAGUGAUCCAAUUUGCAUCACUAUAUUCUUCAAUCAUGAUGGGAUAGUUGGUAUAAUGCAAAGUCUUGUGUAUGUUUAAGAUACCCCAAAACUAAUUUCAUUGACAUCUAGUGAGCUUAAUUGAAAUUACUUGUGAACCGAUUGAAUUUGCUUAUAACACAUGCUAUAUUUGAUUACGUAAUGUUUAUGAUAUACAUCAAACUUUUCAACGUUCUUGCAUAAUUCAAUUGUGAGUCACUUUCACCUUCAUUCUUCUGAAAUGUAAAGUUAACAUUAAUUGGAGUGUUUGCAGUAUUGACAUAUCAAAUACUUAUUUCAUAAAUUCAAAUCUCUUAAUAGUAAUACAAUAUCUGAAUUGGUGAUGAUUUUAGUUCAAACUUUCAACAAAAAGAUAUUUGAUAGCUUUUACUUGAAUUUUUUUAGAAAUAUUUGUGUAACACCCCGGAAACUAGUAGACUAAACUAGGGCCUUAAGCUAGGGUUCUAUAGUUUGAUGUAUGUGGAUUAGAGUCGUAGAUGAGACUUCCCGUACUUAGAAUGAGGGGCUUAGGGGUUGAACGUCAAGGAACGUUUUACACCCCGUAAACUAGUAGACCAUCUAGCUAGGGUUUAGUGAGGGACAAUGCAAGGGGUAAGAGCCAAGGCCAAGGGGGCAAGGCCCAAGCCAAGGCCAAGGCUUCCCAAGCUUGGAAGCACAUUGCCUCAAGUCCACGACCACUACCAUGUCUCAUGGUGUGGUUCGUGAGACCAAGGUAGUAGCUCCCUAAGGGCUGCCUCAAUGUGGCUUACCUCCACGAGCCACUUCACGACUCGUGGUCUUGACCACGGAUCGUGGGAAGGCUCGUGAAGAUGCCUUAGGAGGAGGGAAGCCACGACUUUUUAGAGCCAAGUACGGACCCUUGUUCAUGACCACCAUCACGACCAGUGGUCUUGACCACGGUCCGUGAAGGGGUCCGUGAAGACCCCUUAGAGUCAUAGGAGGCAAGGUCCUUAGGCCUAGCUACUGCCUAAGGGACUACGACCAUCACCACGACCCGUUGGCUUGUCCACGGAUCGUGGGAGGUCUCAUGGUCAUGCCUUAGCAUGUAGGAGCUUGGAAAGUUGAGGGGAGCCACUGGUCAAGGGACCACGGGAACCACCAUGGGACGUGGUGCCCUUGACGGCUCGUGAAGAGGGGCGUGACCCUUGGCAAGGGUCUGUUUAGUUGAAGGGUAUUUUGUAAUUUCCAAAACGUUUAGUUAAUUAAUAGGGUCGUUUUAUAUGAUUUUUAUUCACCAAUAUAAAGUCUUUUAAGUCAUUAAACACCCCAACUAAGUCAUUUAGAAUCAAAACCCCAAAUCACUCCUCUCUGCAAUAUUUCUCUCUCUAGAAAGACCUCCAUUGAAGAACAAGCUAGGGCUUGAAGCUAAGGUCAAGAUCAAAGGCUCCAUUAUUGAAGGAUUGUUCUAGGGAUUUGAUUAAGGUAUGUUAGAUUUUCAUCUAUGGGUUCUUCCACCAAUAGAGUCCCCUAGAAUUUCCCCAAAUUUGUGAAGAAGAACCUCAAUCUAAGCUAGGGUUUCUUCCAAUGAGUGGGUUUAGUUGGGUACUACUCCAAUUGGUUGGAUAAUACUUAUGUAUGAUUAAUUUAGUGUUAAUUCAUGAUAUUAUGAUGAAUUUAUAUGAUUUCCAUGAUUACCCUAGUCUAAUUGAUGAAGAUGAUUUAUGUGGGUUAUUAUCAUGGAUGGUGAAAUUGAAGGUCAUGGUGAACUUCUAGAAUUAUGCUUUGACUAGUAAUUAUCUAGGGCUAGAACCUAUAUGCAAGAAUUGAUUUAGAAUGAUGUGAAUAUGAAGAUUCUUGAGUAGUAAUGCUUGAGAUUGAUUUUACACGAUGAAUUAUGACUAGAGUCUCUAGGAAGAAUAUGACUAGAAUUGCUAAAGAUGAACCUUAUGACUUGAGUGUCUUGUAUCCUAGAUAUGAAUGAUGAUAGAAUGAAGUAAAGCUUUGAGAGUAAGGCUUGUAGUCAUGAAUAUUGAAUCACUAGGGCUUUGAGAGUAGAGUCAAUGCGAUGAAUAGAAGGCUAAUAGGUGGAUUUGUGGUGAAAGGCCUAUACUCACCUAAUCUACUUUAUUGAAUUCUUGAAAGUAUCAAGUGAUAGAAUCACUUGAACAUGGAUUGGUUGUUAAGGACAUCCUUCCAUGAGACAUGAGUGUUAAGCAAGGCUUAACAAGUAAACGUUGUGGUGUAUGCUUGGCUCCAAGUGGAUAUUGACAAUGAGAUGGAGUGUCACACAAGAAAGGGUCCGAGCUCCAAGUUGAAAGGAGAACCAUACCUAGUUGAUGUGAGGACUAUCCAAGUUAAAAGGGGGGAACUCUUACAUAGUAGAGUGUGGGUUUUCCCAAAGUUAGGUCUUAUGAGAUGGAAGCCUUCACAUAGUUGAGUUAAGAUUUCUAGUAGCAAUCUCCAUAUCCAAUGAACUAAGACAUGCUUGAAGAAGCAUCUCAAAGUGUUCUAAAGCCUAAUUGAACUAAGACUUACUUAAUGAAGUACCUCAUAGUGUUCAAAAGUAUAAGUGGAAUUAGACAUGCUUAGAGUAGUAUCUCAUAGGGUCCAUGCUAAUGAGGAAACCUAGGCAUGCUAAAAGUAGUAUCUCAUAGGGUUCAAUCUAAUAAUGAACUAAGAUGUGCUUAAGAGAGUACCUCCUAGUGUUCUAAAGUUAAAGAGAGGAACUAGGUUCCAAAUCAAGAAGUAUUAGUAUGAGGACCUAAAAGUAGUACUUAGCAUGAGUAGUAUUAUGGGAUGCUAUUCGUGCAUUGCACAAAUAUGACUUAGGGUCAUUCAAGAAAGAGUUCUUAUUAGUGAUGUAUUUUAAGAUAGGGUUGUGCUAUAGUUGCAUUCCAUGAUAUGUUUGACUAAGGAUGGUAGUUCCUUUGUCUAUAUGAAGUAAGCUAAAGAGUGAGACUAAAGGAGGGUAAGUAUGACUAUGUUGACGUUCAAGAUUAUACUUAGUGUGAAUGGUAUUAUGGAAUGCCUUUCAUACAUUGCACAAGUGUGCUUUGAGGUUACUUAGGAGUAUGGUUCCCUUAUGGUAGAAAAGCUUAAAACUUGACCAUGUAUAUGGGCUAUGAUUAAGAUGACCAAAAAGGGAUACUUGGCUUGGGUGGUAUUAUGGGAUGCUAUUCAUNNNNNNNNNNNNNNNNNNNNNNNNNNNNNNNNNNNNNNNNNNNNNNNNNNNNNNNNNNNNNNNNNNNNNNNNNNNNNNNNNNNNNNNNNNNNNNNNNNNNNNNNNNNNNNNNNNNNNNNNNNNNNNNNNNNNNNNNNNNNNNNNNNNNNNNNNNNNNNNNNNNNNNNNNNNNNNNNNNNNNNNNNNNNNNNNNNNNNNNNNNNNNNNNNNNNNNNNNNNNNNNNNNNNNNNNNNNNNNNNNNNNNNNNNNNNNNNNNNNNNNNNNNNNNNNNNNNNNNNNNNNNNNNNNNNNNNNNNNNNNNNNNNNNNNNNNNNNNNNNACAUAUUCUUGCCUACAUUCUUAUCAAAUGUAGGGUCCGGCGAUCUUGAGUUCCAUUCUCGUGGCUAGGUUCUAGUAGAGCUAAGGAGUUGAAGACUUGGUGAGUCCUCAUAGCUUCGAGGAAGAACCCAUUAUUCCUUUAUGUCAUUUCUUUAUGUUUUAGACAUUGUAUGGGCUGCGUCCCAAGUCUUUUAUUCAAGAGUUUAAUAGAUGGUUUGAGACAAGGUUAUAGUAAAGACUUCCGCUUGCUUUAUGAAAAUGUUUUCGAUUGUAUGGUUUUAAAGAAGUUUUAAAUUUUUCCAUACUUUUCUAUUAUCUUAUGUUAUGAUGAUUCUAAGGGCUUGUAUGAGACCCCUUCGGGGUCGAGUACGCCAUGUUACACCUAGGGUAUACCCUUGGGUCGUGAUAAUUAGGUCAAAAUCUCUAAAUCUAUUAUUAAUAUUCUUAGAAUUUAUAUUUUUAUAAUACUUUCCUUAUUAUGAUAUAAAUUAUCAAUAACAAAAAAUGAGAAAAAGUAAAAUAUUAAUGUAGUUGUUAUAGAGGGGUAAGUUUUAAGAGUAUAUUGUGAUUAUGGCUGUUCAAAACCGAACCGAAACCGACAAUUUGAAUCGAAAAAAAUUUAUUCGUUUAUCCGUAAUGGGUUAUUGGUUUAGCGGUUUUGAUAAUGGUUUUGAUUUUUUUUGUAAUCGGGUUAUCGGUUCUUAACAGUUAUAGCUUUUUUCCUAACGGGUUAACCGAUAACCCGAUAGUAAAUUAAACAAUUAUAUAUAUACCAUUUUGUAUAUAAAGUCCUUGACUUAGAGAUUGGUUUCCUACUUUCAUUGUUGGUUGUCCCAAACUCUUGGUUAUUCUACAAUGUAAAAGUGUUUGCUUUUGAGAAAGAUGUAGCUUGUGAACUCAUGUGCAUGGUUCAUUUGGUUUGUCACCUUGUUUUUAAGUGUUUUUCAAUAUUUGUUUUUGUCAAAUCUUAACGGUUAAACCGAUAACCGAACCGAUAACGAUAAAAAAUCGAUAAAUCAAUAACCGAUAAGUCAAUAUCUUAAUGGUUCUAUAACGGUUUAACAUAUCUACAAAUGGAUAACCAAUAAGUCAAACCGAUAAACUUUAAAACUGAACCGAACCGACCGACACACAACCUUAACCAUGAUGAUGAGGAUAUUUUUGCCCUUGAUUACAACUUAUUAUAGAGAGGUGAAUUAUAACGCUAAAAAAAUAGUUCCAACAUAAAAUUGAUUAUCAUAAAUAUUACUAUAGCUAGCCUAUAUCUAUUAGAGAGUGAUUUGUGUUCAAAGUGAAUUUUUGUGACACAAAUUUAAAUUAACCACACAUCUCCAAGUAAAUAUCAAACACUUAAUUAAAAGAAUGGGCAAGUGUUACUGAAAACUUUGACCAUGCAAUGAUGUGUUAUUGUCCAAAUUAAAAUUUUAUCUCAGAAUUUUUUAUGUUGAAGUUCGUGUUAACACUUAGGGGCUGUUUGGAAAGCCAUUUUGGUAAUUCUAUUCAGUGUAAUUGGCUGUAAUUACAUUGUUUGUUAUGUUUGAUUGGCCAUGUAAUUACCUAGUCAAUAACUAAUUAGGUGUAAUUGGCAGGGUGUAAUUGGCACUCUACAAUUCACAAGGGGAGACUGUGAAUUACUAGUAAUUACAUGAUGUAAUUACAAGCUAAUUACUUUUUAAUUUCUUUCUUUUAUUUUUUUGUUUUUAAUGUAUUUUUUAUUUCAUUAUUUUAUUUUAUUUUAAUUUUUUUUAUUUUAUUAUUUAUAUUUCAUUUUCUUCUUAUUCUCAACCUUUACUUCAUGUGAUUCCAUAAAAAUAUUCGUAUUAUCUAAAAAAAAAUUAUUUGUAUAAUUUUGUUAGUAUUCUAAUUUUUAGAUUAAAGUAGAAUUUAUUGUUGAAUAAAGUUAUGGACUUACAUUUUCCUUUUCUUUUAAAUCAUAUUUGUGUAUGUUAUGUUGAAAUUUGACAUAAGAGUAGUAUGUUAAAUUUUUGUUUUGAAUUUAGAACUUAUUUUAUAUUUUCAAUUUCAUUUGUUUUAGGAGUAUUGACUCGAUAUUUUACAUUGUAAGCUAUUUUUUUUUAUGUUAGACUUGAUAGAUUAUCUUUCUGUCUAAUGUUUUAUAAUUUUAUGACAUUAUAUUUAUAAUAUUAAUUUUUUUUGUCAAACAUGCAUUUCAUGAUGUUCAUAGAAAUUUUGUACUUUUAGAUUUUAUGAUUUAUUUAAUUAAAAUAUACUAAAUUUAAAAAUAUAAAUCAAUUAAUUUUUAUAAUAUUAGUUAAGAACAUAUGUUUAUUCAUUAAUAUAUUUUCAAAAAAGACAAUAUAUAUCUUAAAUAUUCAAUGUAAUAUCAUUUAAAAAGGCUCUUAUUUGUAUAAUAUAAUUUUUUAAUUUUAAAUAAUUAAUUUUCAUUUUUAAAUUCAAUAUAAGCUUAUGAUUACACUUGUUUAAUCAAACAAUACAUGUGUAAUUACAGUGUAAUCACACUGUGGCAAACAAACAAGUCAGUGUAAUUACUAGGCUGAUAAUUACUACCCUAGUAAUUACACCAAUUCCAAUUACCAGGUGACUUUCCAAACAAGCCCUUAUUGUUGAAGAUGAAGAUUUGACCUAUCACAAAUUACUCCUUCCUUUGUAUUAAAUUAUUUAUCGUAUUUUCUUUUACACAUUUUUAGAAAAAAUAUAAAUUAAGAGAGUUUUUUAAAAUUAUUUUACUCAUUUAUAUCUUAAGUUAUAAUCUAUAUUCAUUAAAUAUUUAUUUUGAGUUUCUCACAUUUCAUCUCUUUUGCUUGAUUGUAGGUGCCUUCUCCGGAGGUUGGAUGAUCCUUUUAUCCAUCAAUGUCUACAUAGAGCAUAAUGAAGUUGUAGAUAGCCUAGCAGUACUAACCACUAGUAGCACUACCAGCAUGGGUUGUGAUGCAUUGGUGGGAGUGAUUCACCCUUAACCAGAGGUCUCGAGUUCGAGCCCUUAGUGUGGAGAAAAUCCUGUUGGAAGCGUCACCCUCGAAUGGGCCCUGCAGAGCGCGAUCCAAAUUUAAUCAAAGCUUCAAUGUGGGCUUCGGACACCACGUGUAAAAAAAAACACUAGUAGCACUACGAUUAUACCUAUUACUCUGACGAAAUAUUUUUGGAUCCCUCUUCCAUUAACUCUAGUUGUUUUGGAUGCUGACAAGCAAGGAGUUUGGUGUAUUGGAAGAGUGAAUGUAGCUACAUGACACUCUUUGACCUUGUGUAUGACUAGAUGUAUUACUACUUCUCCUAGUAAUAAUACUAUUGCAUGGAUGGUGGCAUCCCCUCAACAACUAUCUCUCAGGGCCGGCUCUUGCCUAUAAAAUUUAAGGCAUUGGGGGCCUCAAAAUUCUACAAAUAAAAAAUUAUGUAUUUUAAUCCCAUUAAAAUAGAAGAAAUCAAGAAAAUACUGUUUUGGAUUCUUACAUUCUCUUCGCUAACACUCACAUUAUUUAUCAUUUUAAACUCUUUUUGCACUCUAUUUCUUCAAAUCUUUGAUAGUUAGAGUAAUAAUCUCUCAAAAAUAUGAAUCAAUAGUCAAAAAGUGUUGAACAAAGUGAAUUACAAUUUUUUUUAUUUCUUCGUAAAUUUUUAUAUUAAAUUAGGUAUACCAAGUUAUUAACUUUUUGAAUCUGAUUCUAUGAUUCUAACGCUUAUCUUAAAAGUUUAUCAACUUAUUACUUACAGAAUUAUGUUAACAAUUCAUAUAAUAAUUGUAUCAAUAAAAGGAUAUUUUUCAAUGUUAAAUUGAUAAAAUCUUACCUAAAAAUAAUAAUUAAAAAAACUAUUUAGAAAAAAUCAUUUAUAUAAAAGAUAUUAAGUAGUAAUUUACAGCUAAAAAUUUAGAAAAAUAAAUAAAUACAAAUAAAGUUUAUUUAAAUUUUAGGCCUCUAAUUAAAAUUUUUCUUUAGGCCUCGAAUUAUGUUGAGCCGCCCCGUGUAUCUUUGUACAUGUAUUUUUUUGUCAAGUAAUAUAUUUUUUCUAUUUAGCAAAACAAUAUAUAUUUACUCUAUUGAGGUAUUUGUAUCUUCAUGAAUAAUUAUUACUAAGGCUAAAAUAGGAAAAAAAUAAUUAAUUAUAUCUUGAAAUUCUAAAAUCAUGAUAGAUAACUAUUUUAAAAAAAAUCAGGAUUAAUAUUUUAAGUAUGAGAGAAAGGUACAUGGAUACCAUCCAAGUCUCAAAAUUAAAAAGAGUGACAACUUUGACCAGUCAAGGUCAAAGAUCACUUUAUUUUGGAUUAUUAAGUAGAAUGAGAUAUCAAGUGUAGUAUUUAAAACUUCUCAAAUUUUGAUAAACUAUAUAUAUAAAAAAUCAAUCCACGAAUUUAACCAUCUAUUCAAUUUCUUUAUUUCAAAAUCAAAUUUAUCUACAAAAAAAAGCGGCUUUUUUCAUCAUCCCCAUUUAUUUUCUUUUUCGACUAUAUCGUUGUUGUUCACUAUGUCGUUGUUGUCACUCGUCAUCUUUGCUCAGAGGUAAAAUUAUUUUUCUUUUUCAGGUAUGUCAAACAACUUAAUGUGAAGAAUUAUAAUUUUGAUUUUUUGAAGUUAAAAAUUGUGAUUUCGAUUAAAGAAGAAGAACACAAGGUUUGCAUAUUUUGUUAUUCUAUGCGCUAAUAAAUAUAUAACUGUUGUAUUUGUUGUCUUUUUGUCCUUGUGUGUUCUUAAAUAGGUUUUACUAGAAAUAUAUAUAUAUAUAUAUAUAUAUAUAUAUAUAUAUAUUAUUGGUAUUGUAUGUUGUCGCUCUAUGAUUUAGAAAAUAGGAAUUUGUCGUUGCUUGAUUUUUUUCAACAGCUGAAAAUAGUUAUUGUUGCAACCUCAAUACUUUUUAAAAAUGUCAAAUAUUUGUUAAGGUUGUUUCAAUAAAAUAUUAUAAUAACCUCAACAAAAGUUUGAUUUUUUCAAAAACGUAUUCAGGUUAUUACAAUAACUAUCCCAACUGUUGAAAAAAUCAAGCAGCUGUUGAUCAGAUUAUUGAAAUAGACUAAAGAACUAUUUGAUAAAGCUAAAAUUAUUGCAAGAGUUUCCUCAACUAUUAAAAAAAGGGAAAAGGGUCAAAAAUACCCCUCAACUUUGGUUUAUUGUUUGACUACGCCCUCGCCGUUAAAAUGAAGUUAUUUUUACCCCUCCCGUUACUAAUUUCACCAAAUUUACCCCUCAAUUGGAUGGAAAACCCCAAAUUGACUCAGUUUAACCCAAAUUUUAAAAAAAGACCCAUUCCCCAUUUUAAACCCAAUGCCCGACCCAUCCAAAGUUGAGGGGUAUUUUUGACCCUUUGCCCUCAAUUGGAUGAAAAAUCCAAAUCAACUAAAAUUACCCAAUUUCAAGUAAAUGACCCGAUUUUCUCUUUUAAUCCAAACCGACCCAUUUAUAUCAAAUUAGAACCCUAAACCCAUCUCUCUAAUCUUCUCCAUCUCCUUCUUCCAUUGAAACACAUACUACUAAAAUUGACAACAAAUAUUUUGUAGUUAAACUAAUGCAUAUUUGUCCUUCCUACUAAAAUUGCACCACUAGUCGGAGCUUGGAGCUCGUUCAAUCAUCGGAUUUUGCUUUCCUGCGGGCAGAUCUGAAACUAUGAUAUUGCUUGCUUGUUGAGCCUAGCCAGAUAUGAAGUUGUGGCUGUUGUUUUCGAGCCUUGAUUCUCGCCUGAUUGUGUUGUUGGUUUGAUCUGUUAGCGGUGCUUCAGUUGUUUUCCGAUGGGGUUUUGGUCGGGGUUUUGUUGGUUGGUUGUUUGGAGGUCGGAGAACUGGUGGUCUGGUGGUCAUUUGCUGGUUGUUUUAGCUUGGGUGAUGGAGGUCUGGGUUCUGGUGGGCUGAAGUGUGGUUUUACCACUGGAUUUUGGCGUGGAGAGAGUGGUGUUUGAGAGCUGUUUCAGGUCGGUUUCACGGCUGUUUGAAUGAUUCCGACGGUGGGUGGUUUGCUUAAUGUUGUUCCAGCUUGAAACUGGCCGGAAAUGGAGAAGAAAGAUCUUGUUGUCGUCAAUGGAAAGUAGAGGAAAAUGGGUUUGUUGUUAAUGUUUUUUGCUUGAUGUCGUUUCUGGUUCUUGGGGGUUUUUAGUGGUGGUUUCAGGUGGUCGUUUGGAGGUUGUUUUGGUGGUGUUUCGCCGGAAAAUGGAGAAAAUGAAUGGGGAUUACCGGAGCUUGAUUUGUGGUUUUAAUUUGGUAUAAAUGGGUCGGG
Molecule: long non-coding RNA, 19539 nt
Filed under: Solanum tuberosum (potato)
Lineage: Eukaryota; Viridiplantae; Streptophyta; Magnoliopsida; Solanales; Solanaceae
Description: long non-coding RNA (STUB_LNC008013)
Source: RNAcentral